ACGUCAACCGAAUAAUUAACCACGAUCAAGUCUAGUUGACAAACUGUAGUAUGGAAAAGCUAGUGAGAAUGACCAAGAACUAUCCAGCUUGUGUCCUCAUGAGAUGAACCAAGUGUUGCCAAAUUAGAAGGCUUUCAGCUUGAGCCACAUAAAGUUCCAUCUACGGAUGCCAAAGCUCAAACCAAGCAGUGAAAUGAGGCACCUGAGACUUACAUACUGAAGCCAGCACGACAGACAUAUAUUAGCACAGCUCAGAAGUUGAU
Molecule: long non-coding RNA, 263 nt
Filed under: Olea europaea (common olive)
Lineage: Eukaryota; Viridiplantae; Streptophyta; Magnoliopsida; Lamiales; Oleaceae
Description: long non-coding RNA (OEUR_LNC001427)
Source: RNAcentral